AUCAUGGUCAGGAUGAACGCUAGCGACAGGCUUAACACAUGCAAGUCGAGGGGCAUCAUGAGGUAGCAAUACCUUGAUGGCGACCGGCGCACGGGUGAGUAACGCGUAUGCAACCUGCCUGAUACCGGGGUAUAGCCCAUGGAAACGUGGAUUAACACCCCAUAGUACUUUUAUCCUGCAUGGGAUGUGAGUUAAAUGUUUAAGGUAUCGGAUGGGCAUGCGUCCUAUUAGUUAG
Molecule: ribosomal RNA, 235 nt
Filed under: uncultured bacterium
Lineage: Bacteria
Description: partial 16S ribosomal RNA
Rfam family: Bacterial small subunit ribosomal RNA
Source: RNAcentral